UGCAGAAUCCCGUGAACCAUCGAGUCUUUGAACGCAAGUUGCGCCCCAAGCCUUCGGGCCGAGGGCACGUCUGCCUGGGUGUCACAAAUCGUCGUCCCUCUCAUCCUUUACGGAUAUGGGACGGAAGCUGGUCUCCCGUGUGUUACCGCACGCGGUUGGCCAAAAUCCGAGCUAAGGAUGCCGAGAGCGUCACGACAUGCGGUGGUGAACUAAAGCCUCUUCGUAUUGUCGGUCGUUCUUGUCCAGAAGCUCUCGAUGACCCAAAGUCCUCAAAGCGACCCCAGGUCAGGCGGGAUCACCCGCUGAGUUUAAGCAUAUCAAUAAGCGGAGGAGAAGAAACUAACAAGGAUUCCCUUAGUAACGGCGAGCGAACCGGGAAGAGCCCAGCUUGAAAAUCGGAUGUCUUCGACAUUCGA
RNAcentral lists this ribosomal RNA (416 nucleotides) under Cardamine bulbifera. RNAcentral describes it as "eukaryotic LSU rRNA". The stretch from base 276 to 416 matches the Rfam family "Eukaryotic large subunit ribosomal RNA", at positions 1 to 141 of the family's 3401-position model. Lineage: Eukaryota; Viridiplantae; Streptophyta; Magnoliopsida; Brassicales; Brassicaceae. The record is from RNAcentral.